AUUAGAGUUUGAUCCUGGCUCAGAUUGAACGCUGGCGGCAUGCCUUACACAUGCAAGUCGAACGGCAGCACGGAGCUUGCUCUGGUGGCGAGUGGCGAACGGGUGAGUAAUAUAUCGGAACGUACCCUAGAGUGGGGGAUAACGUAGCGAAAGUUANGCUAAUACCGCAUACGAUCUAAGGAUGAAAGUGGGGGAUCGCAAGACCCCAUGCUCGUGGAGCGGCCGAUAUCUGAUUAGCUAGUUGGUAGGGUAAAAGCCUACCAAGGCAUCGAUCAGUAGCUGGUCUGAGAGGACGACCAGCCACACUGGAACUGAGACACGGUCCAGACUCCUACGGGAGGCAGCAGUGGGGAAUUUUGGACAAUGGGCGAAAGCCUGAUCCAGCAAUGCCGCGUGAGUGAAGAAGGCCUUCGGGUUGUAAAGCUCUUUUGUCAGGGAAGAAACGGUGAGAGCUAAUAUCUCUUGCUAAUGACGGUACCUGAAGAAUAAGCACCGGCUAACUACGUGCCAGCAGCCGCGGUAAUACGUAGGG
RNAcentral lists this ribosomal RNA (532 nucleotides) under uncultured bacterium. Its description in RNAcentral is "bacterial SSU rRNA". It matches the Rfam family "Bacterial small subunit ribosomal RNA", at positions 1 to 532 of the family's 1533-position model. The record is from RNAcentral.